AGACACAGAGCCUUGGAGUUUAGGACACAGUAUUAUUAUAAGGCCAGAAAUAAAAUAUAUAUAUUGAACUUGUAGGUUUACUGAAUCAUGAUGGCAGAGAUCUCAACUUGCUAGGAAUUUUCAGCGUCGGUGAAGUCAAAAACGCUACUACACACUGAGAGCAGGGAGAAAACAAGAGACAGCAAGAUCCAAGUAACAGCCGACUGCUGAUAGAUAUCUCAUGGAAUGGACUCCAGAACCUGCUUUAUAGGUUUGUCUUCUUCUGAGAUAGAUUAAUCUUGUCUCCCAGACUCAGAGCCAUUCCCUGGCUCUUGGCUCUAAUUCGUAUGUGGCCGGUCACAGGGGCCUCUGGACCCAGGUGAAUUGGCUUUUCAAUGCUGACAUUGGCAAGUGCGUCCUCUCCAAAUAUGCAACGAGCAUAGAGGUUAGCAGCCAUGAACCCACAGUACCCAGACAAAGCCUUUUCUGGGGUGAGACAUUUCAUAUUUGUAAAUUUGAGAAUGUGCUGCAAAUAUUAAUUCAGGUCGAUCAUGUUUUUGUUUAAUAAAGUAGUUUUUGUGUUUAGAUCAAGCCCCUGCAGUCUUAUUGCUUAAUUCUCUGCCAUUUAGAAGGUCAAUCUCUUUGUUUAUGCAGCUUUAGCCACACCUACCUGCAUGUAACAUGCACAGCCUUCUUAAACACUUCCUGUAAAGAGAGAUCUAAUGUUUACACUUCCGUUAUUGCACAUUCUGUUUCUGUUUAGAAAUGCUUAUCUUCUGCACUAUUAAUAUCUUGCUAGACCCUGCAGGAGCCUACUGUGUGUGAUUAAAGUUCAAUUUACAGAGCAGGAGAUAAAAACAUCUGAAGUAAGUUAACAUCUCAUUGAAAUGAAACCAUUUUUUAAUGUUGGCUGAAUCUUUCACAGCAAGGGGAGGUGUUACUAAUGCUGCAUAAAGAGAAACACAAGUGACUUAACUUCUAAAUAGCAGAGAAUUUAGCAGUGAGACUGCACAGGCAUGGUUUUUACACAAAAACUGUGUCAUUAAGCUAAAGUUACUUUGGUGCCUAAAGUAUCCCUUUAAUUGUGGGUCCUCUUAAUGUAUUGCAUAUUCUUUACCAUCAGGAAUUACCUAAUCUCUAUAGGAUAGGAUCCUUCCUAUCACCCUAGCUUUGAUCAUCUAUGUCUUGUUUUGUGAAAUAUAUAUAGUGGGGUAAUACAUUCUGUAGAAUAUAGGAGGCAUCCUUACUGCCCAGUAGAGAAGCUACACGUAUGUGAUUAUCCACUAAACUGGGAAUAAUUGGCAACUGGUCAAAUAAUGUCAAAUUGUAGGGAAAAAGAGCCAAGCUUGAAAAAUUCCCAAUUGUCUCCAGUUUCGUGAAUAAUCUUGAUAGAGUGAGUCUGAGCUUAUUUUUAGAGUCUAUACACAGAUACAGAGAUUUAGGAAAUGGCCCACUCAGCAAUAUAUCUCUAGAUAUGGCUGCACACCUAUUGCAGUGACUUUGACUCCUUUACAAAAAAUGCAAGAGUGGAUCUGAUAAGGUAUGAGUUUGCAUGGCAUGCACCUCAUGCCAUACAAACACCGGGUCAUAAAGGGCAAGUCAUAAACUUCAUAAACUUCAUUUAUAGCUUGUGUUUGAGCAAGGGGAUGGUUUUCUUGUAAAAAUUGUAGCAGUUGCAAAUAACAAGGUAAAGGGAGAUGGGGUAGGAUAAUGAUACAAUUACACUUAUUUAGAUAGCGCCAACAUAUUCUACAGGGCUGUACAAUAGGAAAGAAGUCAAACAUUCAACUGCAACAAAAUAUGUAUGGUAUACAAGAACAGUAAAUGUAGGGUACCCUACUCAAUCGAGCUCACAAUCGAGAGUGCCAUAAACUAUGGAAGCAGCAUACUUUUUUUUUAUGUCUGUCGUAUCCCUUUAAAAAAAGCUUAUUUAAUCUUUUCUUCUAGAUGUUAACGACAGAACUUAAAUUAGUCUGGAGAUGAACAUGUAAGAGAUAUUUGGAUUACCUUUCAAAAAAGUUGUAAUCUAUCUUUCAUUGUUGUUAAUAUGAACUCUCUGUCGACUUGAACCCGCUGAUGUUUCAUUAACCUUUCUCUGUAGGUAACAAAGCACGCUCUUUGUGUGGAAAUUCUGUGUGAAACUGGAUCUUUCCCUGCAUCAUAUGUCGCCAGUGGCACUAAAGUAUUAG
This is a non-coding RNA of Pelobates cultripes (western spadefoot toad), 2168 nucleotides long. The record is from the annotation of a GenBank genome assembly. NCBI's taxonomy places the organism in Eukaryota, Metazoa, Chordata, Amphibia, Anura, Pelobatidae.